RNAcentral lists this ribosomal RNA (825 nucleotides) under uncultured bacterium. RNAcentral's name for it is "bacterial SSU rRNA". It matches the Rfam family "Bacterial small subunit ribosomal RNA", at positions 102 to 924 of the family's 1533-position model. The record is from RNAcentral.
ACUGUUUAGCUGCACGUAAGAAUCUACCCUUUAGUGAAGAAUACCUUCGAGAAAUCGAGGCUAAUACUGCAUACGUCCCCUCGGGGAGAAAGACGGCCUCUUGCUGUCGCUGAAGGAUGAGCUUGCGGACUAUUAGCUUGUUGGUGGGGUAAAGGCCUACCAAGGCGAUUAUGGUUAGCCGACCUGAGAGGGUGAACGGCCACACUGGGACUGAGAUACGGCCCAGACUCCUACGGGAGGCAGCAGUGGGGAAUAUUGCACAAUGGGCGAAAGCCUGAUGCAGCGACGCCGCGUGGAGGAUGACGGUUUUCGGAUUGUAAACUCCUGUUAAGUGGGAAGAAAUAUUUACGGGUAAUAUCCGUAAAAGAUGACGGUACCACUAUAGAAAGCUCCGGCUAACUUCGUGCCAGCAGCCGCGGUAAUACGAAGGGAGCAAGCGUUAUUCGGAAUUACUGGGCGUAAAGAGCGUGCAGGCGGUUGAUUAAGUUGGUUGUUAAAUUCCCUGGCUCAACUAGGGGGCUGCAAUCGAUACUGGUCGACUAGAGGGCAAGAGAGAGAAGUGGAAUUCUCGGAGUAGCGGUAAAAUGCAUAGAUCUCGAGAGGAACACCGGUUGCGAAGGCGACUUUUUGGCUUGUACCUGACGCUGAAGCGCGAAAGCGUGGGGAGCAAACAGGAUUAGAUACCCUGGUAGUCCACGCCGUAAACGAUGAUCACUAGAUGUGGGUUUUGCUUAACAGAAUCUGUGUCGAAGCUAACGCGUUAAGUGAUCCGCCUGGGGAGUACGGUCGCAAGAUUAAAACUUAAAGGAAUUGGCGGGGGAGCAC